GUCCCCGUAGCUCAGCUGGAUAGAGCGUCUGCCUCCGGAGCAGAAGGCCGAAGGUUCGAACCCUUUCGGGGACGCCA
This 77-nucleotide transfer RNA is filed under the name Coriobacteriaceae bacterium. RNAcentral describes it as "tRNA-Arg". It matches the Rfam family "tRNA". From Rfam's summary of the family: Transfer RNA (tRNA) molecules are approximately 80 nucleotides in length. The record is from RNAcentral. Lineage: Bacteria; Bacillati; Actinomycetota; Coriobacteriia; Coriobacteriales; Coriobacteriaceae.